Molecule: long non-coding RNA, 391 nt
Organism: Salvia hispanica
Lineage: Eukaryota; Viridiplantae; Streptophyta; Magnoliopsida; Lamiales; Lamiaceae
Source: RefSeq, a predicted model, not a curated record
UACUACAUAUAUAACUCACACACACAUUCAAUAAAUUUAGGCAUCUAAAUUGUUACAUUAAAUCCUAGUUACAUAAAAUUUAAAGUUGAAGACUCAUCUCAUGGAUUCUACUACAACUAAGGGUAAUGAAAGAGUUAACGAUGAGGGAGUGGUGGAGAGAAAAGUGGAGACAGUCGAUUACCGGAAGCCGGCGGGAGAGGAGGAGCCACGGCCGGAGAAGGUGGCGGUGACUCAUCUCGUUCAAUGUUAAUUUUAUGAAUGCCUCGUCUUUUGGUGUUCUAGUGCUUUAUUUUUAUACAUCUUGGUCUUCAAAGAUCCUUAUUUGCAUAUCAUAAAUGAACGUUUACUUAUAUAAUUUCGAUCGACCGGAACUUAAUGACGCUUUUAUUAC